AUAUCCCCGGGCCCAAUCGUAGGCUCAAGCCGAUGUCCCUCUUCAUUCGAGGACUUUGGCAGUCUGUCAUGAUGGAUACUGGUGCCCGACCAAUAGUGGUGCUCCGCCAGAACAGAGGCAACUUCACGCUCCCUUAUCCACCCGAGAAAGCGAGGGGAUGAAGGUGGAGUGGAGUAGUCUGUGCAUUGAGGAAAUGAUUGACGGACAGCCCCCCCCCGCCUUCCAAUCGGAGCGCUGUGCGCAGCCUGGCCAACCUAUGGGACUUGGCUGCUAAGGCGAGAGGCGGGCUUCUCAGAAGUAGGAAGUAUUCGUGGGUCCGUCUGCAGUCAGCCGGGCAAAGGGCUCGGCGGACUCUGGAAAUAGGGAAGCGCGAACCGUGGACGUGCUCAUGACGAGGGGGGAGUGAGCUUACAAAGGCCACGUGCAGGCGGCCCAGAGCUUGCCCAGACUCACAAAAGGGGUUCCCUGAAUUGCGACUUCCUUUCUCUCUGCGUGGUGUGCUUAAUUCCAAGCUCCUUGUCAUGUUGGCUGAAUCAACAUCCCCAGGAUCAGAGAUAAGUGUCCUGUUCCAAGACGUCAUAACCUGGAAGAAAUAUGUCUUGGAUUUGAUUAAGGUAGUUUGAGGAUAUGGCAAGAAGGCAGUGGUCUGCACACCAGGAAGUGGAUUCUCACCAGAUACCAAGGCUGUGGCCACUUUGAUUUUGGACUUCCCAGCCUGCAGAACUGUGAGAAAUAAACUGGGAGAUCAAGGCUACUGAAGGGGUAUUUGAGUUCAUUUAUCUGACUUCUAAGGACAACAGUGUUUACAUUCAGAAGUGGACAUCUCGGAAGAAAUUCUUCAUCUAGGAUGAUCAAGUCUCCUGAGGAGAAAUUUCAAUAUACCUACACAUCUGAUGAGAAAAAGUACCAUGGUGAAAAAAUACAUUCAUGAUUCUGUCUACUGAGAAGGCCUGGAAGCAGUGACACCCCAGUGGCAAUGACGAACCCGUGUCCAGAUACAAUUUUCUAAAUUCCAUUGUUCACCUAAAAACCAAUGGGACAUGGCGAAGAGUAUAAAAAGGAAAAACGGUGCCUUUCCAGUGGAGAAACGUGGCGGACCCCAGCCUAACCAAGUGAUCAUUGUUAACACUCUCAGUGAUGUAGUAUCAAGGCUAGGUGCUUGUGAUACAGUGCAAUGAGAGUAAGUAUUUCCUCUUUGUGCUAUUCUUGAAAAUCGACAGCCCCAGUCUGAUCAUGAAAAUACAUCAGACACAUCCAAAUUGAGGGAGUCUCCAGAACACCAGUACACUGUAAAACUGCCAGGUCACUGAAAGUGAAGUUCCAUUAAGAAGUUGUCACAGACCAGGGGUGCCUGGGUGGCUCAGUCAUUUAAGCGUCCGACUCUUAUUUCGGCUCGGGACGUGAUCUCAUGGUUCAUGAGUUUGAGCCCCCAUCUGUCAGCGCAGAGACUGCUUGGGAUUCUGUCUCUCUCUCUCUCAAAAACAAAUAAAUAAACUUCAAGAAAUUAAAAAAAAAAAAGUUGUCACAGACCAGACUAAUUUCUUCAGUAUCCUGGAUUAGAUUCUGGCACAAAAAAGAGGGAAAAGUGGUAGAAAUCUGAAUAAAGUGUCAUUUAGUUAAUAGUAUUGUACUCAUGUUAAUGUCUUAGCUUUAACAAAUACCAGUGUUGCAUAAGAUGUUACCAUUAGAGCAAACUAGGUAAAGAAUAUGUAUGAAUUCUUUGUACUAUCUUGGUACCUUCCUCUGUAAAUCCAAAAUGAUCCCAAAAUUUAAAAUAAUUAACAAAAUAAAAUUAGAUUAAUAAAAUACAUAAUUAAAUUAAAUACUUAAUAACACAGAGAAGACACUCUUUUUG
This is a long non-coding RNA of Felis catus (domestic cat), 1855 nucleotides long. RefSeq lists it as uncharacterized. The transcript is spliced from 7 exons. Lineage: Eukaryota; Metazoa; Chordata; Mammalia; Carnivora; Felidae. The record is from RefSeq and is a predicted model, not a curated record.